CCUACGGGAGGCAGCAGUAAGGAAUAUUGGUCAAUGGAGGCAACUCUGAACCAGCCAUGCCGCGUGCAGGAAGACAGCCCUAUGGGUCGUAAACUGCUUUUAUACGGGAAUAAACUUUGAUUCGUGAAUCAAGCUGAAUGUACCGUAAGAAUAAGGAUCGGCUAACUCCGUGCCAGCAGCCGCGGUAAUACGGAGGAUCCAAGCGUUAUCCGGAUUUAUUGGGUUUAAAGGGAGCGUAGGCGGCCUAUUAAGUCAGGGGUGAAAGACGGUGGCUCAACCAUCGCAGUGCCUUUGAUACUGAUGGGCUUGAGUAUAGUUGAGGUAGGCGGAAUGUGACAAGUAGCGGUGAAAUGCAUAGAUAUGUCACAGAACACCGAUUGCGAAGGCAGCUUACUAAGCUAUGAUUGACGCUGAGGCUCGAAAGCGUGGGGAUCAAACAGGAUUAGAUACCCUGGUAGUCCACGCCCUAAACGAUGAUAACUCGAUGUUGGCGAUAUACAGUCAGCGUCCAAGCGAAAGCGUUAAGUUAUCACCUGGGAGUACGCCCGCAGGGUGAACGUCAAAUGAAUUGACGGCUUGGAGAGNGCGAGGACGACGACGAGGGAGGAGG
Molecule: ribosomal RNA, 610 nt
Filed under: uncultured bacterium
Lineage: Bacteria
Description: bacterial SSU rRNA
Rfam family: Bacterial small subunit ribosomal RNA
Source: RNAcentral